CGGUAAUACGGAGGAUCCAAGCGUUAUCCGGAAUCAUUGGGUUUAAAGGGUCCGUAGGCGGUCAGAUAAGUCAGUGGUGAAAGCCCAUCGCUCAACGGUGGAACGGCCAUUGAUACUGUCUGACUUGAAUUAUUAGGAAGUAACUAGAAUAUGUAGUGUAGCGGUGAAAUGCUUAGAGAUUACAUGGAAUACCAAUUGCGAAGGCAGGUUACUACUAAUUGAUUGACGCUGAUGGACGAAAGCGUGGGUAGCGAACAGGAUUAGAUACCCUGGUAGUCCACGCCGUAAACGAUGGAUACUAGCUGUUGGGAGCAAUCUCUGUGGCUAAGCGAAAGUGAUAAGUAUCCCACCUGGGGAGUACGAACGCAAGUUUGAA
This 376-nucleotide ribosomal RNA is filed under the name uncultured bacterium. RNAcentral describes it as "bacterial SSU rRNA". It matches the Rfam family "Bacterial small subunit ribosomal RNA", at positions 518 to 898 of the family's 1533-position model. The record is from RNAcentral.